CCCCAGUGAGGAAACGUGUACAGUCUGACUCCCAGCCCUCGCUCCAGAGCCCGCAGAGGCGAAUCCACUGGGGCUGGCUGGGCAAAGAGGUUGGCGUCAAAAGGAGCUGAGAGCUGGGU
RNAcentral lists this small nucleolar RNA (119 nucleotides) under Chinchilla lanigera (long-tailed chinchilla). RNAcentral's name for it is "Small nucleolar RNA SNORD22 (ENSCLAG00000020665.1)". It matches the Rfam family "Small nucleolar RNA SNORD22". Rfam says of the family: U22 is a member of the C/D class of snoRNA which contain the C (UGAUGA) and D (CUGA) box motifs. U22 is encoded within the U22 snoRNA host gene (UHG) in mammals and has also been identified in Xenopus. The record is from Rfam by way of RNAcentral. Lineage: Eukaryota; Metazoa; Chordata; Mammalia; Rodentia; Chinchillidae.